AUUAUUGCGCAUUGGGGAGCUAUUUUUGACCUUUCGCUAUCUGGAUCUAGGGUUUUCUUUUCUUGACGACUCGUUCUUCAUCAUCAUCAUCAUCGAAACCAAAAACCACCACCACCACCACCACCACCACCAAACCCUAGUACUGAAAUUCAGUGAAACAGAAAAAAAGAAAAAGAAAAAGACAAACACUGAGAAGCUUGAUUUUACCAGCGAUCUGAUCGCUGAAGAAGUUGUAGUGUGUUUGGAUCAUCUAUCAGGGAUCUAAAAUUGUGGUUUUUUUAUUUUUUAUUUUUUUUAGGAAAGAGAAGACCCUAAAUUGGUUUUUUAUAUUUUGGUUUUUCUUUCAUGGAUCAGCGAUUUUAAAAAAGCAAAAAAAAAAAAAAAAAUCUGGGAUGAAAUUUAAAGCAUCUUUGACGAUGAUGAGGAUGAUUUCUUAAGAAACUUGUACCCAAAAAAAAAAAAUUAAAAUUCCAUGAGUUGUUUGAUUUUUUGGGGUGUUUAAUGACUUAUGAUGCGGAAAUUUGAUGAGAAAACGGCUUUGAGGAGGAGGAGGAGAAGGGAAGAGGGGGUGUUUGGCUGGUGAGAAAGAAAGAAGAAGAGAAAAUGUAUAAAUCGGUGGUGUAUAAAGGGGAGGAGUUUCUUGGUGAGGUAGAGAUUUUCCCGGGAGAGAACGACAACAAGAAGAUUAUCGAUGAUGGGAAGGAAAUCAGAAUAAGUCAUUUUUCACAAGCGAGUGAGAGAUGCCCUCCACUGGCAGUGCUUCAUACCAUUACCUCUUGUGGUGUUUGCUUCAAAAUGGAGUCCAAGACCUCGCAGUCACAGGACACGCCGCUCUUUCUUUUGCACUCCUCGUGUAUCAAGGAGAACAAGACCGCAGUGAUGCUGCUUGGAGGAGAGGAACUCCAUUUAGUUGCCAUGUAUUCUAGGAAUAGUGAUAAACAAUAUCCAUGUUUUUGGGGAUUCAUUGUCGCAUCUGGGCUUUACAAUUCUUGUCUUGGCCUGCUGAACCUUAGAUGUCUUGGUAUUGUGUUUGAUCUUGAUGAAACGCUCAUAGUUGCUAAUACAAUGCGCUCAUUUGAGGAUAGAAUUGAGGCUCUACAGCGGAAAAUAAGUAGUGAGGCAGAUCCACAACGUAUUUCUGGUAUGCUGGCAGAGGUCAAGCGCUAUCAAGAUGACAAGAAUAUAUUGAAGCAAUAUGCUGACAGUGACCAGGUUGUAGAAAAUGGGAGGGUGAUCAAAAUUCAAUCUGAAGUAGUUCCUGCCCUGUCUGACACUUAUACAACUCUUGUUCGGCCUCUUAUACGGUUAAAUGAAAAAAACAUCAUCCUGACUCGCAUUAAUCCACAGAUUCGUGAUACAAGUGUUCUUGUGAGGUUGAGACCUGCAUGGGAAGAUCUUAGGAGUUAUUUGACGGCACGGGGGCGUAAGCGCUUUGAGGUCUACGUUUGCACAAUGGCUGAAAGGGAUUAUGCUUUAGAAAUGUGGAGGCUUCUUGAUCCAGAUUCAAAUUUGAUUAAUUCCAAAGAAUUAUUGGAUCGCAUUGUGUGCGUCAAGUCUGGUUUAAGAAAGUCCUUGUUCAAUGUCUUCCAAGGUGGGUUGUGCCACCCAAAGAUGGCAUUGGUAAUUGAUGAUCGCCUGAAAGUGUGGGAUGAGAAAGAUCAACCUCGGGUGCAUGUUGUUCCUGCAUUUGCUCCAUACUAUGCUCCUCAAGCUGAAGCAAAUAAUGCUGUCCCUGUCUUGUGUGUUGCGAGAAAUGUUGCUUGCAAUGUCAGAGGUGGUUUUUUCAAAGAUUUUGAUGAUGGUCUCCUUCAAAAGAUUACUGAUAUUUCAUACGAAGAUGAUGUUAAAGAGAUUCCCUCUCCUCCUGAUGUGAGCAAUUAUCUGGUUUCAGAGGAUGAUGGUUCUACUUCAAAUGGAAACAGAGAUCCGCUUCCUUUUGAUGGAAUGGCUGAUGUUGAAGUUGAAAGGAGACUAAAGGAAGCAAUAUCAGCUGCUUCAACAGUCGCUUCAUCAGUCACUAACAUUGAUCCAAGACUGGCUCCUCCUCUUCAGACUACAAUAGGAUCUUCUUCUGGAAGUCUUCCCCUGCCAACAACUCAAGUGUCGGUGAUGAAUUUUCCCAAUGUACAAUUUCCUCAGGCUGCUUCAGCAGUUAAACCAUUGGGUCAUGUUGGCAAUAUGGACUCAAACCUGCAAAAUUCUCCUGCUAGAGAAGAAGGCGAGGUUCCAGAAUCUGAAUUAGAUCCUGAUACAAGGCGGAGACUUCUCAUUUUGCAACAUGGGCAAGAUACUAGGGAUCUUACAUCAAGUGAACCUCCAUUUCCUGUUAGACCAUCGGUACAAGUCUCUGUUCCAAGGGUACAAUCACGUGGGGGCUGGUUUCUAGCAGAGGAAGAGAUGAGCCCUCGGCAAGUGAGCCGGGUGGUACCAAAAGAAUUUCCUUUAGAUUCAGAACCACUGCAUGUUGAGAAGCAUCGGCCUCAUCAUCCAUCUUUUUUCCCUAAGGUUGAAAGUCCAAUUCCUUCGGAUAGAAUUCUCCAUGAAAAUCAAAGAUUGCCAAAAGAGGCCUUUCAGAGAGAGAGAUCAAACAACUCAUUGCCUGGUUAUCAUUCUUUCUCAGGUGAGGAGAUUCCCUUGAGUAGAUCAUCUUCAAGCAACAAGGAAGUUGACUUCGAAUCCAGCCGAGCUGUAUCAAUUGCAGAAACUCCAGCUGGUGCUCUACAUGAAAUUGCAAUGAAGUGUGGAACCAAGGUGGAGUUCAGGCCAGCUUUGGUUUCCAGUACAGAACUGCAGUUUGCUGUUGAGGCUUGGUUUGCAGGAGAGAAAAUUGGUGAAGGAACUGGUAGGACAAGACGUGAAGCUCAAUGCCAGGCAGCUGAGGGCUCUCUUAAGAACUUGGCCAAUAUAUAUGUAUCGCGUGUCAAACCUGAUUCUGGUUCUCUGCUUUUGGAUGGCUCUAAGUUUCCUGAUAUGAGUGAAAAUGGCUUUCUGAGUCAUGCAAAUUCCUUUGGGAGUCGGGGGACUCCCAAAGAGGAGUCGCAGUUAUUUUCAGCUGCCUCAGAACCAUCUAGGCUUCUGGAUCCUAGACUCGACAGCUCUAAAAAAUCUAUGAGUUCAGUCUCUGCACUUAAAGAAUAUUGCAUGAUGGAGGGCCUUGGUCUAGUUUUUCAACAUCAACCUCUGCCUUCAGCUAAUUCCAUUCAGAAAGAUGAAGUUCAUGUACAGGUAGAAAUAGAUGGACAGGUCUUAGGGAAGGGGAUUGGGUUAACAUGGGAUGAGGCUAAGAUGCAGGCUGCUGAAAAGGCCCUUGGAAGUCUACGAACAUCGUAUGGUCAGAAACGUCAAGGUUCUCCAAGGUCAUUGCAAGGAUUUUCAAAUAAACGUCUGAAGCAGGAGUUUCCACGAGUUCUACAGCGAAUGCCCUCUUCUACUAGAUACCCAAAAAAUGCACCUCCUGUUCCCUGAAAGCCCUUAGUAUCUUUCAUUCCACUUGUAUAGCUAUUGUUGGGAAAUUUGUGCAGUACAUUUGUCAUAGGAAAAAGCAAGGGCCGCCCAGUGUCCAGAACCACGGGAAGGCUGUUGUCCAUGGAAUUUUCUCACAGAAUCUAGUCUGAAGCCAGUGGAUCAUGGUGUCUUUCAUGGGUACAUUUUGCAAGUUCUCUGGAAAGAGGGUUGAGAUUCUGCCCAAAGUGACUGCAGUCCUGGGGUGUUCAUGCAUCUGGAUUCUGCUCACUGUUGUAGAAACGUCAUCAUGAAGUUUAACACAAGAUAAGAAGGCAAAAAUCUCAUGCAGCUCGGCUAUGAAUUCUGUGUUUGAUGUUCUUGGGUUGGCAAGGUUUUUGAAAGAGCUUUAGAUGGGUCCUAUUUGUUCACCAUGUUUCGAUAUUAAUUUUGCGGAAGUAAAUUAAAUAGGGAGCUUGGGGGCAGCUUCUUGCAAUGCUUGAGGAACUCACAAUGCCACUAACCAUUGACAGUUAGAUUGUAGCACAACUGACGGUUUUUCUUCUUCACAGCCCUUCUUGAAGAUACUGAAAAUGUUAAUUUCAGGUCCUGGGAUUGGUGGAAACUGCAAAAUGAUGCUUUCAGACCUUGAAUGGAGGUAUACUAUCAAGGGGGUUGUCUUCUGGCGAUCUUUGAAGUACUCCCAAUUUUUGGCCAUAAAAGAAACUGCAAAUUCAUCUGGUAUUGUAUUUUUACUCGAGGUAAAGAAGUCAUAUUUUGUUGCUUCGUCUUGUCCUUUUGCAGCUCUUCUAGUAUGUAUGUAGCAAUUCUAAGGUGUGCACUACCAUUAGACAUUAACUUGCGGAUGCAAAGUUUAAAGUGCGAAAAAAAAUAAAAUAAAAUAAAAUAAAAAAUAGAAAAGAAAGUUUACAAUCUUUACCUGCUUGACUGCAAAAAUUUAAAAGAAAAAACUUACUUUUUAUGUUACUUUAACAACUGAACCAAAAAAGAAAAAGAAUUUACACAAGUAGUCCAACCGUGCUUGCCUUGUUUAUUUCUCAUAUUUUUGCAGAAUUUUAUAAUUUAUGUGGCAAGAAAACGCAGAUCUUGCAUGUCUUGCGUUGUUGAAGUAGAGGAGGGGAGAUGAAAAAAUAUAGUGAGAAGGGGAUGCCAGGGGGCAUAGCCAAAAAAAAAAAGAAAAAAAAGAAAAAGAAAAAGAAAGCCAAAGAUUGAGCCUCUUCAUUUUAAAUAGAUUUUGCUUGUGUUUUCUUCGGUGCUUAUCCUACUAUUAUUAUUAUUAUUAUUAUUCUUUUUUUAUUUUUUUAUAAUUUUAUAAUUUUAUUUUUACUUGAAUUCUCAGCUUGUUUUGAACACAUGUUUGAUUGAAUUUAUUUAUUUUUUAACAUGUUUUGGUCUAAUAUAUUGAAUUGACAAUUAACGGUUGAGAUUCAUAAUCAAGCAUAGCAAACUACAGGGAAGAUUCUAAUUCUUUCAACGCUAAAAGUAUAUAUUAAUAUAUGUCUAAUUUGAAUUUAAUUGUUUUUUUAUUUUUUUAUUGUAAGUGUUAUAUUAUUUAUUGGAUUGAUAAUUAAUGGUUGAGAUUGAAAAUUAAUAUAUAUAUAUAUAUACUGUUGAAUGUGUUGCUUUAAUUAAUGAUUUAAUAUUGAAAUCCUAAUUGAGCAAGUGAUCAUUUUUAACAUUUUUCACAUUUUAGAGUCUCCAAUAUAAGAUGAGCAGAGUUAUAUAUAUAUAUAUAUAUAUGCAUUGUAAUAAGAAAUAUAUGGGUCUUAAUUGUACUUACUGUUGGAGAGUAUAAGAUAUAUAUAUAUUUUUUAAAGUGAUGAAAGUGUAUUGUUAUUAUCGGAGUUAAUUUCAUCUGCAUCCUUCAAAUUUUUUGUAACUUAUUGUAAAUCUGUUACUAUUUAUUCUAAAUGACCAUUGGAAUUACUUUUAUAUCCUUAAAAGUUGAAUUUAAAAAUAACUUAAAAUUGCAAUAAAAUUUGAUCACGUUUAUUUAUUUUGAUAAGCUUUUAUUUGUUUUUUCCUCCGACUCUACAUUCCUCGCUUCCUCGUCGCUUCCUUCUGGCGACUAGCUUCUCCAGUGGGUGGCUUGCUUGCCCUAACCUGUCGAUGGGGUUUUGCUUUUUGGGCAUGGUUGAUUUGGAGAUUGGCUUAAUUCUGGGCUACAUGUUGAAGAACCGUUGUUCAACCAAGGCCCAAUUCAAAUUUGUAGGCUUGAUCCAGUAGUAGAAUUCAUUUCCAAGAACUGAGGUCCAACCCUGUGAUAUGCAAUGCCAGGCAUCGCACGUCGCCGGAGAAAAAGGAGUAAAGCAUCCAGUUUUGUCAGUUUGUAAUGCUAAGAAAAUGGUAAUUUUUCUUUUUUUUUAGGGAAGAAAAUGAUAAUUCUUUAAAGAGAUUUACAGUGGAAUUUAGGCUAAAUCGGAGUAUUUUUAUUGAUGGUUUGCUGUUGAACCACUUAAUUUUGUAUGCUUAUGAUUGGUUCUUUACUCCUGCAUCAGGGUAUGCAUUUUUGUUCUUUAUUUAUUUAUUUAUUUUUGUUAAUAUUA
Ziziphus jujuba (common jujube) is the source of this 6008-nucleotide RNA transcript. It is a transcript of the gene named RNA polymerase II C-terminal domain phosphatase-like 1, with no coding region annotated. NCBI's taxonomy places the organism in Eukaryota, Viridiplantae, Streptophyta, Magnoliopsida, Rosales, Rhamnaceae. The record is from RefSeq and is a predicted model, not a curated record. The transcript is spliced from 19 exons.